GUACAUACCGACAUACACACA
This 21-nucleotide non-coding RNA is filed under the name Rattus norvegicus (Norway rat). The record is from RNAcentral. Lineage: Eukaryota; Metazoa; Chordata; Mammalia; Rodentia; Muridae.